Molecule: ribosomal RNA, 546 nt
Filed under: uncultured Desulfotomaculum sp.
Lineage: Bacteria; Bacillati; Bacillota; Clostridia; Eubacteriales; Desulfotomaculaceae
Description: bacterial SSU rRNA
Rfam family: Bacterial small subunit ribosomal RNA
Source: RNAcentral
AGAGUUUGAUCCUGGCUCAGGACGAACGUUGGCGGCGUGCUUAACACAUGCAAGUCGAGCGGGGCUUAGUAAAGAGUUUACUUUUUACUUUGUCUAGCGGCGGACGGGUGAGUAACGCGUGGAUAAUCUGCCUGUAAGACAGGGAUAACGCCGGGAAACCGGUGCUAAUACCGGAUAACCUCUUUGGAUCGCAUGAUAUGAAGAGAAAAGGUGGCCUCUUUACAAUGCUACCACUUACAGAUGAAUCCGCGUCCCAUUAGCCAGUUGGUGGGGUAAAGGCCUACCAAAGCGACGAUGGGUAGCCGGCCUGAGAGGGUGACCGGCGACACUGGAACUGAGAUACGGUCCAGACUCCUACGGGAGGCAGCAGUGGGGAAUCUUCCGCAAUGGACGAAAGUCUGAUGGAGCAACGCCGCGUGUAUGAUGAAGGUCUUCGGAUUGUAAAGUACUGUCUUUGGGGAAGAAUGAUGUGCUUGAAAAUAUUGAGUGCAUAUGACGGUACCCAAGGAGGAAGCCCCGGCUAACUACGUGCCAGCAGCCGCGGUA